Triticum dicoccoides is the source of this 1181-nucleotide long non-coding RNA. RefSeq lists it as uncharacterized. The record is from RefSeq and is a predicted model, not a curated record. The transcript has 7 exons. NCBI's taxonomy places the organism in Eukaryota, Viridiplantae, Streptophyta, Magnoliopsida, Poales, Poaceae.
UUUGUGCACUUGUGUGCAGGUUGCUUGCAUUGCAUCUGGUGGAGAGGGCCAAGGAGAUCACCUUGACGGAGCCACCAUGAAUGAUUCCCCACACAAGGUCUCGCUCUGUUUAUUUUUGACAAGUCAAAGUCAUUGCUAGAUCGUGCAAGGAGAAGAGGGAGAAGAACGAGUCCGUCUCCCGCCCCCCACCACUGCCACAAGGUGCUCGACUGAUCUCGAGCAUCAGGAGGCUGGCGGCGCUGGACGGGAGGACGGUGAGGUACAGGAGCUGGGCGACAUCAUGCACCAGCUCGAGGUUCCUCACCCGAUGCUCCAUUGGCGGUACAGGACGAGCGCGACAGCAUUGCCCCGCUCGAGGACGGCGGCGGCGGCGGCCACGGCGACGGCCUUGUACCCUACCCUCCAACUCCAACGCAGGCAGGGCCAGGACGGCAAGUUGCACGGUGGUAUGCUCCGACUGGGCUUCUGCUGUUGGACGGACCCGUUGUCGGAGAUGCGCUGCUGCUGCCCACUACUUUGGCCAACAAGAGCACCUCUGCCUGCUCCCCUGGGGCACGAAACAUUCGCCGUUUCACCCAGCGGUAGCCUCUUCAAGUUGCUUGCAUUACAUCUGAUGGAGAGGGCCAAGGAGAUCACCUUGACGGAGACCACCAUGAAUGAUUCCCCACACAAGGUCUCGCUCUGUUUAUUUUUGACAAGUCAAAGUCAUUGCUAGAUCGUGCAAGGAGAAGAGGGAGAAGAACGAGUCCGUCUCCCGCCCCCCACCACUGCCGCAAGGUGCUUGACUGAUCUCGAGCAUCAGGAGGCUGGCGGCGCUGGACGAGAGGACGGUGAGGUGCAGGAGCUGGGCGACAUCAUGCACCAACUCGAGGUUCCUCACCCGAUCCAUGGGUGGUCCGGGACGAGCGCGACGGCGUUGCCCCGCUCGAGGACAGCGGCGACGGUGAUGACGUUGUACCCUACAACUCCAACGCAGGCGGGGCCAGGGGCCUUCAAGUUAACCCUGGGCCAUGGAGAAGCUGUUGCCGCCAAGGGCCCCUUCAACGAAGUUGUUCAACAUCAAGUCAAAUCCCCCUCUACUGUUCACGACAUGCCACCUUGGUUUUCCACUUCGACGCCCCAUGCCAUGCCCCUCCCCUCGGGUGCAUCCAAUCUCCUUCCUUCCCGGCGGCAUAGACGGC